Malaclemys terrapin pileata is the source of this 2415-nucleotide long non-coding RNA. RefSeq lists it as uncharacterized. NCBI's taxonomy places the organism in Eukaryota, Metazoa, Chordata, Testudines, Emydidae. The transcript has 2 exons. The record is from RefSeq and is a predicted model, not a curated record.
UUAGCAGCCACGUGGUGCUACUUGCGUUUCUCUCUCUGCGGCUGGGGCUUGGUACUUUGUCUCGGGGACGUUAAACUGGCCGAUUUCGGGUGAAGUUUGGUCCCGUGGCGCCGCCUUAGUCCAGCUGCCUGUGAGGCGAGCCAGCCAGUCCGUGCACACGUGUAGCGGGCGUGCCGGAGCAGCCCUGCAGACAUCUUGAGUGUGGUUGCCUGGGGAGAGGAAACCCGCGGAGCUGCGGGGAGCCGGGGGGGUUGGCACGCUGCAAUCCGGCGGCGCUGUGCACGUUAGGCAGCGGGGAAGAGUCCCCUGCGGGAGCCGGGGUGAGUUCAGUUCACCGCGCUUCGCUGUCAGCCGCUUGGACGUGUUGCAAUCCCAGCGCACGUUUGCGGGGCUUCACCAGCACCGCGUCCCUGCAAACUGUGCUGCAGAGGUGACCAAUAUAGAUGAAGUUCCCCGUGAAGGUGCAUUUGAGUCGGGGACACGUUGGUGUCUCCCAGCGCCAAUGAGGAUCCAGGAGCAGUUCAAGGGGAAAUACAAUACCUCAGUGAAAUGAGCUCGUUCCGUUUUCAGCAUUGUCUGGCUCUGCAUUGCAUAAAACAGUCUGAUUGGGGUGGGCUGCAGAAGCAGUGCUUAACUUGCCCACUGAUCUGUACAGGUUGUUCUGGGUGAGAAUGACAGCCCCAGCCCUGCAGUUGUCCUUUGUUAUCCAUACAGAAUAGGAGCAAUGUUAUCACAUGCCAAAACGUGUAAUCAGCUGUCCUGCCUUGAGUGCAGGGGACUGGACUAGAUGACCUCUGGAGAUCCCUUCCAGUCCUAUAAUUCUAUUUGACCUGCAUUAUACGACUACACUUUGUCCACUCUGCAGUUGCUUCUUUUCUAUUGUCCCCAGAGUCACUGCAGUAAUUACAUAAGGAGAAGUACUGAAUUGGUGCCUUGUUAAACAUUACAAGCAAUUUCACCUCUGAGAGACACAUAACCCCUGAUGUUUGGUCCUUGCAUGGUGGUCUGUAAUUGUCAGAGGUCUUACUGAGGUCAGAUUUGUAGGGUGAUCUUGUACCACCAUGUAGCAGUAGGUGUUUUUCCUUCUGUAAAGUAGAAACUUGGUGCAGUUACUCUGUGGACCUUUAAGGAUAUAUUUUAGCUGUUGUAUUUUUUAUUGGCAUCACACUUCAAGAUAGGAACAUAGUGGGCCUUGGUUUAUUAUACAACAAAAUAAUUAAACUGCAGACAGAUUUAAACUAGAUACUGGGAAAGCUUUCUAACUAUGAAAAUAGUUAAGUACUGGAAUUGGUUACCUAGGGAGAUUGAGGAAUCACCAUCACUGAACGUUUUUAAGGUUAGACAAACAUCUGUCAGGGAUAGGGUGACCAGACAGCAACUGUGAAAAAUUGGGACGGGGGAUGGGGGAGGGGGGGUAAUAGGAGCCUAUAUAAGAAAAAGACCCAAAAAUUGGACUGUCCCUAUAAAAUCCAGACAUCUGGUCAGCCUAGUCUGGGAUGGUCCAGAUACACUUAAUCCUGCCUCGGCAUAGGGGGGAUGGACUCGACUUCUUGAGCCCUACAUUUCUGUGGUACACAACUACCGUGACUGCACGUGCAUGUCAAUUGACUGCAUAUGCUUUUGGCUCAGUGAUCAUUUUAAACACAGUGGUAAUGCAAAUUAUCCAUGAAAUUGCAUGUCCGUCUUUUUUAGUUCUUAAAUAUCAAGUCAGUAUGUCCCUCUAGCAGGGAUUUGCAGAUUACAAGACUAUACACGUGUGAAGAAACUACCCUUCUUGAACAAUCAGCUUUGUUAGACGUUUACAAGUGCUUUAGUUAAAAUCCAAACAUUCCAGCCCAUCUAAAGUGGCAAUUAACUGCUUUGAAAUGAUAUAAUCUGAUACUAUUGUGCUGGUGCACAAGAUUGUGUGAAGUACAUUCACCGUGGGUGCAAUCCUGCUGUCCAUACACCCUUCUUACUUGGGAAAGAGGCCUGUUAGAAUGCAGUGGAAGUUCUGCCCAACUAAGGCCACAGGAUUUCAUACAGUGCACUAAAUUUCCAGUUGGCAAGUCACAGAAAAAGUGAUAUGGAACAAGCUUCAGUUGUAUCAAGUAUUUUGAAACCUUAACUAUGCUGCAAUUAAAUGUUUUCACAAGCCUUCUGGCAAACAGAUGUGACACCCUUACAUUAGUAUUAUAUAACAGAUAGUAGUCAGACACAUGAGCAGGGAAAAAACUCAAGUUAGAACUACUGCUUUUUUUUUUUUUUAAUGUGCCCACCACCCUAAACCAGUGAAUUAUGAAUUUGGAAGGGUUUUAUGUAAGUCACCUACUAGUCAACAAUAAUAUUCCCUUGGCGAUAAUGAAAAGUAUGUUUUGGAAUGGUUCCCAACCAUGUGACUUAUUACUGCCAUAAAUCUGUACUGUUUCCACUUUU